GCUACAGUGCGUACAGUCAUUGACAAGACCAUAUUUGUGCGGGCUCUACCUCACACGGUGCUUUCGGAUAUUACUCCAUCUCCUUCAGUCUACAGGUUGACCUCUGAAGAUAACAAGAAUUUGGAAAUGUGCCUUAUCACGGAUUACUCCCCUGAAAAACUUGAUCUUAGCUCAGUUGAUACGAAGAUGGAAACUGUUGUGGAGGUGGCAACAUCUGAGAACAAAUAUGAAGCGAGCUACCUGUCAACCUACUGGGCCAAGAAGGAUGAAAUGCAGUGUGGUGCCAAGCACGAGGGAUUUGGAGUGCUAGGAGAUGAUCCUGAAGCUGGUGCCAGCACUGUCUGCAUUACAGGGAUGUCGCCACAUUUCAAGACAGAUGAGAACCUGAACAUGCUGACCUUCUCACAAAUGGGCUUGAAAAUAAUUUUAAUGAAAGCAAUCAUUUUUAAUGUGCUGAUGACGAUGCUUAUGAGGAAAAAAAAUGAAUGAAAGUAACCAGACAGUACAGAUGUGAAGUACCAAAAAAAUCUGUUGAAGAAUCAUUAUUGGAGCAUUGGGUGCAAGAGGUUCUCCCACUGCAAUAGAUACCAUUGUUUUUUCUGUGUAUCACACCAGCCAUUAUAGUCUAAAUUGCUUUGUGUGCAUUUUUAUGAAGCUACUCAAAAGUAUGUUACAAUCCUCUGCAUUCUGCUCAUUCAGCAUGACAGUGCCUUUUUUUGCUUUGGUUUGCUUUUUUUGGAUGAAGCAGAGAUUGCUGUAACUGUGUAUUGUCAAACAGCUCUAUUACUUGCAUUAAAAUGACAUAAAAUUUCUGCCUGAA
This is a non-coding RNA of Lagopus leucura (white-tailed ptarmigan), 820 nucleotides long. Lineage: Eukaryota; Metazoa; Chordata; Aves; Galliformes; Phasianidae. The record is from the annotation of a RefSeq genome assembly.